GUGUUGUUGGGUAGGGGAGCGUUCUGUAAGCCUGUGAAGGUGGCCUGUGAGGGUUGCUGGAGGUAUCAGAAGUGCGAAUGCUGACAUAAGUAACGAUAAAGCGGGUGAAAAGCCCGCUCGCCGGAAGACCAAGGGUUCCUGUCCAACGUUAAUCGGGGCAGGGUGAGUCGACCCCUAAGGCGAGGCCGAAAGGCGUAGUCGAUGGGAAACGGGUUAAUAUUCCCGUACUUGGUGUUACUGCGAAGGGGGGACGGAGAAGGCUAUGUUGGCCGGGCGACGGUUGUCCCGGUUUAAGCGUGUAGGUGUGUGUUCCAGGUAAAUCCGGUUCACUUUAACACUGAGGCGUGAUGACGAGGCACUACGGUGCUGAAGCAACAAAUGCCCUGCUUCCAGGAAAAGCCUCUAAGCAUCAGGUAACAUCAAAUCGUACCCCAAACCGACACAGGUGGUCAGGUAGAGAAUACCAAGGCGCUUGAGAGAACUCGGGUGAAGGAACUAGGCAAAAUGGUGCCGUAACUUCGGGAGAAGGCACGCUGACAUGUAGGUGAAGUGAUUUACUCAUGGAGCUGAAGUCAGUCGAAGAUACCAGCUGGCUGCAACUGUUUAUUAAAAACACAGCACUGUGCAAACACGAAAGUGGACGUAUACGGUGUGACGCCUGCCCGGUGCCGGAAGGUUAAUUGAUGGGGUCAGCGCAAGCGAAGCUCCUGAUCGAAGCCCCGGUAAACGGCGGCCGUAACUAUAACGGUCCUAAGGUAGCGAAAUUCCUUGUCGGGUAAGUUCCGACCUGCACGAAUGGCGUAAUGAUGGCCAGGCUGUCUCCACCCGAGACUCAGUGAAAUUGAACUCGCUGUGAAGAUGCAGUGUACCCGCGGCAAGACGGAAAGACCCCGUGAACCUUUACUAUAGCUUGACACUGAACAUUGAGCCUUGAUGUGUAG
This 941-nucleotide ribosomal RNA is filed under the name Salmonella enterica subsp. enterica serovar Derby. RNAcentral describes it as "partial 23S ribosomal RNA". It matches the Rfam family "Bacterial large subunit ribosomal RNA", at positions 1218 to 2141 of the family's 2925-position model. Lineage: Bacteria; Pseudomonadati; Pseudomonadota; Gammaproteobacteria; Enterobacterales; Enterobacteriaceae. The record is from RNAcentral.